Long non-coding RNA from Orcinus orca (killer whale), 2024 nucleotides. RefSeq lists it as uncharacterized. The transcript is spliced from 5 exons. The record is from RefSeq and is a predicted model, not a curated record. NCBI's taxonomy places the organism in Eukaryota, Metazoa, Chordata, Mammalia, Artiodactyla, Delphinidae.
ACACCCCUGACAUGUAGGCUUGAGGCAUCAUUGAGCAGACCCUUGCCGCUCACCUUCACCUCCCUAGGGAGCUGCCCCUAGGCUGCAGCCUCUUGCACCUGCACAGGUGCCUGGGGGCGGGCCACAGUACCACCUGGUCCUCAGGUGGAGUGCAGGAUCAGCCUGGAGGAGAGGAGAGCUUCUUCGGCCCAACUGUAAUAGGGAAGAACCUUUGUAUUCUAUUACAAGGUAAUCACUAAAGAGACCUUGCCUAUAAGCUUAAAUUAUACAUAAUGGCCCAUCUCUGGGAGCCCUGCCUCCCAGGUAAUGAGCAUUGAGCUAAAACACCUUUGUUGAGCUCCCGGGAAACAUCCUAACCAGGCCCACCUGUGAAUGACUGCAGGGAGGAAGAAAUGAACACGACCCCUCAGGAGGCUGACUCGGGACCCGGAAGUGUUUGACUUUACUCCCGCCCCUUUUAGUAAAAACGAAGCUUGAAUUCUAACUCAGGCAAGACGGUUCACCAUCUUGCUCUGCUGGCUUUCUGAAUAAAGUUGCUCAAUCUAUUGGCCUUUUGUGUGGCGAGCAGUAGCAGCUUGGACUUGGUGUCGAAUUGUGGUGCAGACGGCCGGGAGCCUUGCUGCUCGUGGCUCCCGGUCCGCUUUGGGGAAUUUCCGGGUAAGGCCCUGGCAGCUGCCGGAACCACUUGUCUGGAGGGUCUUCCCUUCAGAAUUCCGCAAAACGGCCCUGACUGCCCCCCGUGCUUGGCAGCUGGAGCAAGGAAUCGACGUUUGGGAGCUGACGGGCUACAGUAGGGACUUCUGAAUGUGCUUCUGGACAUCCAUACAGUACUUGAGACCAGAAUUUCAUAACCAUAGAGCUCUGGUACAGUAGUCUCAUCUGUUUCGCCAUUAAUGAGGCUGGAAGGAGGUGACCAGAGUUUCUUGAUUUUAUGGGAUGAUCAUAACUGUGUUAAAACUGUGAGAACAGGGAAGUGAACAGUAUUCUGAAGAAGGAUGUAACCAGUUGUAAAGAAGAAAGAGAAGUGGACUGCCAUUAAGGUACUGUGAAAUUCCUGUGUAAAGGAGUGUGUGUGUGUGUGUGUGUGUGUGUGUGUGUGUGUGUCCAGGAAAAAGUAGAUCCUAGAAAUUUAUAGCAAAAAAAGGAUAAAGCUUGCAAUUCAGUUUGGCAUGGGGAGAAUUAAAGGUAAAGAAGAAAUCUAAGAUAAUACUGAUACUGUGAGCCAGAGAAAUCUGGAUGAGUAAGUGUUCAUUGAUGGAAAUACUGAAAUUAGAAAACUAAAGGGAUCUAAUCCAAUUUUAUUUUAGAGGAACAAUGGAGAAGAGAAAAUAGUUUAGGAAAAAUGAUGAAGAAUUUGGUUUUCUAGAUGAAGUUCUAGUUGUUGGCAAAACAUACAAACUUGGGUAUUCUUUAGGAUGCUUCAGGAAAUGUGGUUCUAGAGAAAGAGGUGAAUAAUGAGGGUUAAAAAUACAGAUACAGAAAUCAUCUGAAAUAUGUCUUCUAUUUGUAUGCUACUUUAGAAGUAAAAUUUCCUUUUAUAUCCACCUCACUUGAUCCUUAUAAUUAUGCUCUAAAGCAGGCAAAACAGACAUAACUAUCUUCAUUUCAUAGAUGAAACACAUUCAGAAAGGUUAAGUGACUUGUCUGAGGUCACUCAACUAGUGACUAGGGCCUGAAUAAUUCAGUUCUUUUUUUGCUACACAAUGCUUCCAUUUUUUAUUUUAAAAAAUUAAAAAAAAUUGUUUUAUCUUUUGGCCAUGCCACAUGGCAUGCAGGAUUUUAGUUCCCCAACCAGGGAUCGAACGCACACUCCCUGCAGUGCAAGUGUGGAGUCUUAACCACUGGACUGCCAGGGAAGUCCCCACAAUCCUUCCAUUCUGAAUCCACUUCUAGACAGUAGCUGAAAAUAGACAUGACUGUGUAAAAAUACGUGUGAGUACUGACAAAGACUAAAUGGUAGUAGGCAAACAUGAAAAUAGAAGUGGCUGAAUUAUGUACAGUAUAUUUUAACUUUUGAGGAAGCU